Molecule: long non-coding RNA, 1391 nt
Organism: Planococcus citri (citrus mealybug)
Lineage: Eukaryota; Metazoa; Arthropoda; Insecta; Hemiptera; Pseudococcidae
Exons: 2
Source: RefSeq, a predicted model, not a curated record
UGCGGGGAGUCGUAUAUUUUCUGGUGUAUUUAUGCAUCAUGGCACGCGAUUGGUGCAUCUUCCUGUCCCUCUCGGCUCUCGCUGGUUUCAAAAAAAAAAUUAAUGUCACUUCAUUCUCGCUCCUUCACGUCAUCUAGUUGAUCAUUUACGCACACUGUGCUUUCAAACAACCAUUUGGAUAUCAGUUCUAAUCCUGUGUUCUUUUAAUUCGUAUUUGCGUGUGUUUGUGGCCGAUAUUGUGGUCACCAGCUGUCUGAUACCUGAAGCAUUGUCUGGCGAAGUUGUCUCAACAAACCUUACCAUUAUACAAUAUUGGACUACAGUAUCAACUGACAACCAAAUAGAAAACUGGCAAGUACACCUGGAGGAUUACUUUUCAGACUACUGAUUAAUCUAGUCCCUACGAAAUCACCACCAUCAGACCGAUCCCACAAAAGCCUAUCUGGUAAUCUGAUAUAUACAAGAUGGAUCAUGAAGCACUAUACUUAACAUCUUACUAAACAGUGAACCACCAGAGCUUCCCCAAAGAAUCGACCAAUUAUCUAUUGAACUGGGAAUAAGUUUUACAUAGGAUACUCGUAUGUUUUGAAAUUGCAGCUACAUUACAACAUAAAAAAAAAACAUAUGCAACUUUUGAAAUAUUAUCAAAUAUUAAGAUCUUGAACACAAUCAAUUUAAUCGAGGCAAAAUUUUCCUCGGCAGUGAAUAAUUCGAUUAAAAAAGCAAAAUUGUAGUAUCACGUGAUUCACUACUUUUUCAUAGUCAUACGAGUAGUUUUAGUUUAAAUGUGUAAAAAUAAUUUGAUUAGAAAUACUCAGAAGUCAUUUUUUACAAAAUUCAAUCUGUUGAAUUUGCAAUAGAUACAAAAAUAAAUUAAUGUAAGUAGGUAUUUAUGGCGGAUUCUGAGCCAGGAGCUAAGGAGCCGAAGGUGCAACUCCUUAGCUGACACCUAUCCCCUAUCCCUAACACAAACAAAGCCAUAAAGGAUUUAAAAAUGUAGAUUUUAAAACAUUGAAAAUGAACACAUUACAAAUGCAAUAUUUACAAACAUUUUAAUCAAAAAUAAAUAAGUAUUUGUAACAUUAAAAAUUUAAAAUGUACACAAAAUCCAAAAAUCCCCCGUUCAAAACAUAAAAUGGAAAAUCACUUUAAUUAAAAUUAAUUACUUACAAAUACCAUGUGUUUCUAGAUGGGUAUUGGCUUCCUAUAUUCUUUUGUCUUUUUACUCCAUGUGGAGGUGUAGGAAGCUGACACCCCAGUAUCAUUCAUAAACUUCAGGUUGCUCUGAAAAAUUAAAAAAAAAAACAUAAAAUGAUGAAAAAGUUUGUACGUACAUAUUUAGGUUAUUGAGUAGGUAUUUUUUAACAUAAAUUAAAACAUUUGAGUGUGUU